CAGAGGACUUUCCCCUGCUCGAUGGCCAUCUGUUUUUAACUUCUGUUUGUCCAUUGGGAAAGUUGUCAAAAUAGGGUGAAAUUUAGCCUGUUGCCGAUGGUGGUGCAUUUCUCGACUGCUUCCUAUACCAUACACAUGCCCCAAGAUUGCAAGGGUGCAAUUUUGUUUAUGAUUUGGGGUCAGUCCGUGGCAAUCUCUAAAGAAUUUGGGAUUUUCAUCUGAAUCCAAGCUUUGAUGAGUUUCCUACUCGACCCCAUUGACUGAUUUAUGAUGUGGCAUUAGUUGAAGUUGGACUUCAUGGAGUUGAAAGACGACUUGCAUUUUACUGUUAUGUUUGUAGCUUUAGUUUCAUCGGGAGCUUUUAAUCAUCCUCCGACACAGCAACUGAUGUUGGUAUUUUUGAAAUUAUGAUAUUCUGCAGGAGGGAUAGCUUCCAAUGAUGUGUAUCAAGAUCAGAUUCAGCAGUUCCUAACAGCAAUGAAGUUUCAACACCAUUGGGAAAGUACUGUAUACUGUUAUAUUCAUCAAUCAUCACAGAGGAAAAUGAAAAAAGAAAAAAAGAAAAGAAAAGAAAAGAAAAAGUCUUAAAUAGGGAAUUUGGAGUACCCCUUUUUUUUGGGCUAUGGCCACUGUACAGAUGCUGGGGAAUUGCAUUUAAGGGUCCAGAUUUCACACUGCGGGGAUAUUUCCAAGGUGCGCUGGUUGAGGCUGCUGCGUUCGGCCUAGGUUUUAGCUGCUGUUACUGGCUGUUCUUCUACCUAAUAUGUUGUUGUAUGCAACAUCAAUCACAUCUGCAUCAAUUUGAAGAAAAAUCUAAUUACAGUUUCUUUUUC
Long non-coding RNA from Magnolia sinica, 833 nucleotides. RefSeq lists it as uncharacterized. The transcript is spliced from 2 exons. The record is from RefSeq and is a predicted model, not a curated record. NCBI's taxonomy places the organism in Eukaryota, Viridiplantae, Streptophyta, Magnoliopsida, Magnoliales, Magnoliaceae.